This 214-nucleotide unclassified non-coding RNA is filed under the name Hevea brasiliensis (rubber tree). The record is from RNAcentral. Lineage: Eukaryota; Viridiplantae; Streptophyta; Magnoliopsida; Malpighiales; Euphorbiaceae.
GAAUGCCAAGUGUUCAAACCUCUCAUUGUUAGGACCAAACCGUUUUGUUGACACAGUCUCUUGUAGAACGCCUUGAUAAAUAUAAGCGGACCAGAUUCCGGCAACACAGAAGGCGAGGACAAGGACACGGCGGAGACCAGCACCGUGAGCUUCCAUGUGGAAAUGUCGUUGGAAAAGUCAGAUCCCGGUAGACACGUGGACUUCAAAGAGGUAC